Molecule: ribosomal RNA, 583 nt
Filed under: uncultured marine eukaryote
Lineage: Eukaryota
Description: SSU rRNA
Rfam family: Eukaryotic small subunit ribosomal RNA
Source: RNAcentral
UUGCGGUAAAAAAGCUCGUAGUUGGAUUUCUGUUGAGGACGAUCGGUCCGUACCAUGUACGCGCAUCUGAUUCGGCCUCGGCAUCCUCUCGAUAGACGUUUCUGCGCUUGAUUGCGUGGUGCGGAUUUCGGGACUUUUACUUUGAGGAAAUUAGAGUGUUCACGGCAGGCUAACGCCAGAAUACAUUAGCAUGGAAUAAUACUAUAGGAUCUCGGUUCUAUUUUGUUGGUUUCUAGACCCGGGGUAAUGAUUAAUAGGGACAAUUGGGGGCAUUUGUAUCAACACGUCAGAGGUGGAAUUCUUGGAUUGUGUUGCGACAAACUACUGCGAAAGCAUUUGCCAAGGAUGUUUUCAUUGAUCAAGAACGAAAGUAAGGGGAUCGAAGACGAUUAGAUACCGUCGUAGUCUUUACCAUAAACUAUGCCGACUAGAGAUGGGGCAUCGUUCACUCACGACUUGCUCCGCAUCUUAUGAGAUAUCAAAGUCUUUGGGUUCCGGGGGGAGUAUGGUCGCAAGUCUGAAACUUAAAGGAAUUGACGGAAGGGCACCCCCAGGAGUGGGGCCUGCGGCUUAAUUUGACUCA